Molecule: ribosomal RNA, 520 nt
Filed under: uncultured Glomus
Lineage: Eukaryota; Fungi; Glomeromycota; Glomeromycetes; Glomerales; Glomeraceae
Description: SSU rRNA
Rfam family: Eukaryotic small subunit ribosomal RNA
Source: RNAcentral
AGCAGCCGCGGUAAUUCCAGCUCCAAUAGCGUAUAUUAAAGUUGUUGCAGUUAAAAAGCUCGUAGUUGAAUUUCGGGGUCAGUAGGUUGGUCAUGCCUCCGGUAUGUACUGGUCUCACUGAUUCCUCCUUCCUGAUGAGCCGUAAUGCCAUUAAUUUGGUGUUGCGGGGAAUCUGGACUGUUACUUUGAAAAAAUUAGAGUGUUUAAGGCAAGCUAACGCUUGAAUACAUUAGCAUGGAAUAAUGGAAUAGGACGUUCGAUCCUAUUUUGUUGGUUUCUAGGAUUGACGUAAUGAUUAAUAGGGAUAGUUGGGGGCAUUAGUAUUCAAUUGUCAGAGGUUGAAAUUCUUGGAUUUAUUGAAGACUAACUACUGCGAAAGCAUUUGCCAAGGAUGUUUUCAUUAAUCAAGAACGAAAGUUAGGGGAUCGAAGACGAUCAGAUACCGUCGUAGUCUUAACCAUAAACUAUGCCGACUAGGGAUCGGAUGUAUUAGUUUAAUUUUUAAUGACUCAUUCGGACG